RNAcentral lists this ribosomal RNA (757 nucleotides) under uncultured Actinomycetes bacterium. Its description in RNAcentral is "bacterial SSU rRNA". It matches the Rfam family "Bacterial small subunit ribosomal RNA", at positions 81 to 851 of the family's 1533-position model. The record is from RNAcentral. Lineage: Bacteria; Bacillati; Actinomycetota; Actinomycetes.
GCUGGGGUACACGAGUGGCGAACGGGUGAGUAACACGUGGGUGACCUGCCCUGCACUUCGGGAUAAGCCUGGGAAACUGGGUCUAAUACCGGAUAGGACCGCACCGUGAGGGUGUGGUGGAAAGUUUUUUCGGUGUGGGAUGGGCCCGCGGCCUAUCAGCUUGUUGGUGGGGUAAUGGCCUACCAAGGCGGCGACGGGUAGCCGGCCUGAGAGGGUGGACGGCCACAUUGGGACUGAGACACGGCCCAGACUCCUACGGGAGGCAGCAGUGGGGAAUAUUGCACAAUGGGCGGAAGCCUGAUGCAGCGACGCCGCGUGGGGGAUGACGGCCUUCGGGUUGUAAACUCCUUUCACCAUCGACGAAGGGUUUCUGACGGUAGAUGGAGAAGAAGCACCGGCUAACUACGUGCCAGCAGCCGCGGUAAUACGUAGGGUGCGAGCGUUGUCCGGAAUUACUGGGCGUAAAGAGCUCGUAGGUGGUUUGUCGCGUCGUCUGUGAAAUUCCGGGGCUUAACUCCGGGCGUGCAGGCGAUACGGGCAUAACUUGAGUACUGUAGGGGAGACUGGAAUUCCUGGUGUAGCGGUGAAAUGCGCAGAUAUCAGGAGGAACACCGGUGGCGAAGGCGGGUCUCUGGGCAGUAACUGACGCUGAGGAGCGAAAGCAUGGGGAGCGAACAGGAUUAGAUANCCCUGGUAGUCCAUGCCGUAAACGGUGGGCGCUAGGUGUGGGUUUCCUUCCACGGGAUCCGUGCCGUAG